AUACGGAGGGUGCAAGCGUUGUUCGGAUUUACUGGGCGUAAAGAGCGUGUAGGCGGUUUAGCAAGUCAGAUGUGAAAGCCCCGGGCUCAACCCGGGAAGUGCAUUUGAAACUGCUUCACUAGAGUAUGGGAGAGGAGAUUGGAAUUCCUGGUGUAGAGGUGAAAUUCGUAGAUAUCAGGAGGAACACCCGUGGCGAAGGCGAUUCUCUGGACCAAUACUGACGCUGAGACGCGAAAGCGUGGGGAGCAAACAGGAUUAGAAACCCCUGUAGUCC
This 274-nucleotide ribosomal RNA is filed under the name uncultured bacterium. RNAcentral's name for it is "partial 16S ribosomal RNA". It matches the Rfam family "Bacterial small subunit ribosomal RNA", at positions 523 to 796 of the family's 1533-position model. The record is from RNAcentral.